Liolophura sinensis is the source of this 1095-nucleotide long non-coding RNA. RefSeq lists it as uncharacterized. The record is from RefSeq and is a predicted model, not a curated record. Lineage: Eukaryota; Metazoa; Mollusca; Polyplacophora; Chitonida; Chitonidae. The transcript has 3 exons.
ACUUGAUGCAUUCUGUUAACUUUAUUUUUAAUGUUAUAUUCGUAUCUUUGAAGGUGUGCCAGAAAGCGGCAGAUGGUCGUGAAUUUUUCCCAAGCUUUGCCCGGUUUAGCACUGGCUGCCAUCGUUGGCCUGGGCCUUCAUACCCGAGGGGGUUAGCACGCCAGCACAGCGCUAUGAACCCAGGAACCUCUCACCAAUGUCGUUGCUCAGAUUGACAACUACAUUUUUUCUGAAGUGGUGGAACAGUUUACACUGUCGUCAUUGUCUUCAUGUUAACAGCAGGAAGAUUCAUUUGGGCUCCAUACAACAUGGAACUUCAAGCAAAAUGCAGGCCAACAUUCCAAGACCUCAUACAGAAAUGCGUCCUACACCUUUCACAGACAUAAAUGCACUGUGCAGUGAUGCUCGAAUGACCAUGCUCUGGAACGUCUAAAUAUGGAGAAGAGUAUCCCUGUGGCUUCUUUGUUUCAAUAUAAAAUUAUUUUAAAUAUUCAGGAAAGUACACAUUGUUAGCAUGGUGCAAAGUCAGCAUAUUUUGCAUUAUUACGAUCAUGUUUGUUGGUUCCUUCAUUGAGAAGGAAGAGUGCAAGUAUCUUUCCAAAACAUUAAUAAAUUGUAGAACAACAUUUUUGUAAUAAUCAGCUCAUUACAUAUCAGUCUCGCUGAUAGUAUGAGUACCAUAAUGCAGAAAUUGCAAAGCUCUUGCACACUUGUUAAAGUGCAGGGAGAAAGUGAUAAUAUUUAAUUUGUGUAAUUCAUAUUACACAUAGGUGAACGACUUAAAAUUUUACCCAAAAGCUCAUUUUUAGAGGCAAAUAAACGUUGUCAGAUAUUAUUUUUGGUGUGAUAACUUACUUAUUCCUUUAUGAUAUCGUCCUACCUUCCAAACAAACCGCCAAGCACCCUUCUAACAUUAAUAUAACUCUCGGAAACAACACAAUGUACAACUUUUGUGAUGGUCCAAAUUUUAGGUCAUACACCGUAAAUUUCAAAAGUACUUUAACUGCCUUAUCGGUGUUCAAAUGUUCAAAUAAUAUUUCUUUGUCCAUGUUCAUUUGUAAUAUUUUUGGGUUAAAUAAGUAUAAAUAAAUGGUU